This 352-nucleotide ribosomal RNA is filed under the name uncultured bacterium. RNAcentral's name for it is "bacterial SSU rRNA". It matches the Rfam family "Bacterial small subunit ribosomal RNA", at positions 8 to 350 of the family's 1533-position model. The record is from RNAcentral.
AGAGUUUGAUCAUGGCUCAGGAUGAACGCUAGCUACAGGCUUAACACAUGCAAGUCGAGGGGAAACGACAUCGAAAGCUUGCUUUUGAUGGACGUCGGCCGGCGCACGGGUGAGUAACGCGUAUCCAACCUGCCCACCACUUGGGGAUAACCUUGCGAAAGUAAGACUAAUACCCAAUGACGUCUCUAGAAGACAUCUGAAAGAGAUUAAAGAUUUAUCGGUGAUGGAUGGGGAUGCGUCUGAUUAGCUUGUUGGCGGGGUAACGGCCACCAAGGCGACGAUCAGUAGGGGUCUGAGAGGAAGGUCCCCCANACUUGGAACUGAGACACGGUCCAAACUCCUACGGGAGGCA